CCCUAGCCCCGAUUGAAAUGAAAAUCCUUUUUUGCAAAAAAAGAUUGCAAUGGAAAGCGGGAAAAAGC
Molecule: small RNA, 68 nt
Filed under: Chryseobacterium limigenitum
Lineage: Bacteria; Pseudomonadati; Bacteroidota; Flavobacteriia; Flavobacteriales; Weeksellaceae
Description: Flavo-1 RNA
Rfam family: Flavo-1 RNA
Source: RNAcentral